This 329-nucleotide ribosomal RNA is filed under the name uncultured eukaryote. RNAcentral's name for it is "partial 18S ribosomal RNA". It matches the Rfam family "Eukaryotic small subunit ribosomal RNA", at positions 1470 to 1796 of the family's 1831-position model. The record is from RNAcentral.
CCCUUAGAUGUUCUGGGCCGCACGCGCGCUACACUGACUGACUCAACGAGUUUACAACCUGUGCCGAAAGGUAUGGGUAAUCUUUUGAAAUUCAGUCGUGAUGGGGCUAGAUUAUUGCAACUAUUAAUCUUCAACGAGGAAUGCCUAGUAAGCGCAAGUCAUCAGCUUGCGUUGAUUACGUCCCUGCCCUUUGUACACACCGCCCGUCGCUCCUACCGAUUGAAUGGUCCGGUGAAGCGUUCGGACCGUGGCCUUUGGACGGUUCGCCGUCUGUUGGCUGCGGGAAGUUCGUUAAACCUUAUCAUUUAGAGGAAGGAGAAGUCGUAACA